This 407-nucleotide ribosomal RNA is filed under the name uncultured bacterium. RNAcentral's name for it is "bacterial SSU rRNA". It matches the Rfam family "Bacterial small subunit ribosomal RNA", at positions 355 to 773 of the family's 1533-position model. The record is from RNAcentral.
UGGGGAAUAUUGCACAAUGGGCGAAAGCCUGAUGCAGCGACGCCGCGUGAGGGAUGACGGCCUUCGGGUUGUAAACCUCUUUCAGCAGGGAAGAAGCGAAAGUGACGGUACCUGCAGAAGAAGCACCGGCUAACUACGUGCCAGCAGCCGCGGUAAUACGUAGGGUGCGAGCGUUGUCCGGAAUUAUUGGGCGUAAAGAGCUUGUAGGCGGUUUGUCGCGUCUGCCGUGAAAAUCCGAGGCUCAACCUCGGACUUGCGGUGGGUACGGGCAGACUAGAGUGUGGUAGGGGAGACUGGAAUUCCUGGUGUAGCGGUGAAAUGCGCAGAUAUCAGGAGGAACACCGAUGGCGAAGGCAGGUCUCGUGGGCCACUACUGACGCUGAGAAGCGAAAGCAUGGGGAGCGAAC